AUAAGAGGUCCAGCCUGCCCAGUGAUACUAUUAAACGGCCGCGGUACCCUGACCGUGCGAAGGUAGCAUAAUAACUUGUUCUUUAAAUGGGGACUAGCAUGAACGGCAUCACGAGGGUCUCACUGUCUCCUUUUUCUAAUCAGUGAAACUGAUCUUCCCGUGAAGAAGCGGGGAUUAAACUAUAAGACGAGAAGACCCCAUGGAGCUUUAAACCCAAUAGACACCUCUGACUAAUCUAACCCACCAUACUUCUUAAGUUCUGCCUAUUGGUUUUAGGUUGGGGUGACCACGGAGUACAACAAAUCCUCCAUGACGUACGGGACUUCCCUCUUAUCCUUGAACCACACUUCUAAGAAUCAACAAAUUGACGUUUAAUGAUCCAAUAUAUUGAUCAACGGACCAAGUUACCCUGGGGAUAACAGCGCAAUCCAUUUUAAGAGCCCCUAUCGCCAAAUGGGUUUACGACCUCGAUGUUGGAUCAGGGUAUCCUAGUGGUGCAGCCGCUACUAAUGGUUUGUUUGUUCAACAAUUAAAACC
RNAcentral lists this ribosomal RNA (537 nucleotides) under Fejervarya limnocharis (Boie's wart frog). RNAcentral describes it as "partial 16S ribosomal RNA". It matches the Rfam family "Bacterial large subunit ribosomal RNA", at positions 1845 to 2595 of the family's 2925-position model. Lineage: Eukaryota; Metazoa; Chordata; Amphibia; Anura; Dicroglossidae. The record is from RNAcentral.